RNAcentral lists this ribosomal RNA (253 nucleotides) under uncultured bacterium. RNAcentral's name for it is "partial 16S ribosomal RNA". It matches the Rfam family "Bacterial small subunit ribosomal RNA", at positions 524 to 776 of the family's 1533-position model. The record is from RNAcentral.
GACGUAGGGCGCGAGCGUUGUCCGGAUUUAUUGGGCGUAAAGAGCUCGUAGGCGGCUUGUUGCGUCGUCCGUGAAAACUUGUGGCUUAACCACAGGCUGGCGGUCGAUACGGGCAGGCUGGAGUUCGGUAGGGUAGACUGGAAUUCCUGGUGUAGCGGUGAAAUGCGCAGAUAUCAGGAGGAACACCGGUGGCGAAGGCGGGUCUCUGGGCCGAUACUGACGCUGAGGAGCGAAAGCGUGGGGAGCGAACAGG